UGGGUGUUAUAUAGUUGUUUGUUUCAAAGGAACUUAAGGAUUCCAUAGGAGAAGGAGGUGUGGAUCGUGAAAAGGUACAACACAUUCGUAAGAUCUACCAUUUUUAAAAAUCGUCACUGGGGUUGUGUGGUGAAAGAUUGUCCUAGUUGUUUUGGAAGGAGGUAUAUUUUCUUGAAUCUGUAGCUCCAACCUAGACCAAAGCCCCAAUUGGGAAUUUGGAAUGUCUGGAUAUAUUGCUUCUUCAACAUGAAUCUCACCAUCACCUGAGAUGGCACAACUACCACCAACACAAUCUGCACCAUAUCCAACCCAAUCUACAGAAGGAACAGUAGUGCUAGUACCACCUCAAACUGAAGAUGAUAAUGAUGACUCAAAUAUGCAAGUACUAAAGCUGCUGCCACCAGUACAACACAUUAGGGAUUGAUCCAUAGGAAAAGGGACAUGCCAUUUAAGAUUUUCAUUUCUUGCUUUGAAGUUUGUACUUAAUUUGGUUUCAUUUGUUUCUAAAAGCCUAUGUGAGAUUUCCAUUUCUUGCAUUGUAAUUUGACAUGUCUUGAACUUGAACUCUUGAUUGCUUGUUUGUUUUGUUUGUAUUAGACAUGAUUUGUUGUA
Molecule: long non-coding RNA, 612 nt
Organism: Prunus dulcis (almond)
Lineage: Eukaryota; Viridiplantae; Streptophyta; Magnoliopsida; Rosales; Rosaceae
Exons: 4
Source: RefSeq, a predicted model, not a curated record